UAAAUCAGUUAUGGUUCACUAGAUCGUACAGUUUACACGGAUAACUGUGGUAAUUCUAGAGCUAAUACGUGCAACCAGCUUGCUCUUUCGGGAGCAAGCGCAGUUAUUAGAUCAAAACCAAUCCGGCCUUCGGGUCGGUUAAAUUGGUGACUCUGAAUAACCGAAGAGGAGCGCAUAGUCUCGUACUGGCGCCAGAUCUUUCAAGUGUCUGACUUAUCAGCUUGUUGUUAGGUUAUGUUCCUAACAAGGCUCUUACGGGUAACGGGGGAUUAGGGUUCGAUCCCGGAGAGAGAGCCUGAGAAACGGCUAUCAUAUCUAAGGAAAGCAGCAGGCGCGUAAAUUAUCCAAUCCCAGAUCGGGGAGGUAGUGACGAAAAAUAACGAUGCGAGAGCUCUAAGCUCCUCGUAAUCGGAAUGGGUACACUUUAAAUCCUUUAACGAGGAUCAAUUGGAGGGCAAGUCUGGUGCCAGCAGCCGCGGUAAUUCCAGCUCCAAUAGCGUAUAUUAAAGUUGCUGCGGUUAAAAAGCCCGUAGCUGAAUCUGGGCAGUUGGACGGAUGGUAUGCCUUGCGGUAUUACUGUCUGUUCGGCGCCACAAGCCGGCCAUGUCUUGUAUGCUCUUCAUUGCGUGUACUUGGCGACCGGAACGUUUACUUUGAAAAAAUUAGAGUGCUCAAAGCAGGCGUACGGCCUUGCAUAAUGGUGCAUGGAAUAAUGAAAUAAGACUCCGGUUCUAUUUUGUUGGUUUUCGGAACUCGAAGUAAUGAUUAAUAGGAACAGACGGGGGCAUU
RNAcentral lists this ribosomal RNA (789 nucleotides) under Murrayon dianeae. Its description in RNAcentral is "SSU rRNA". It matches the Rfam family "Eukaryotic small subunit ribosomal RNA", at positions 102 to 892 of the family's 1831-position model. The record is from RNAcentral. Lineage: Eukaryota; Metazoa; Tardigrada; Eutardigrada; Parachela; Murrayidae.